RNAcentral lists this unclassified non-coding RNA (330 nucleotides) under soil metagenome. RNAcentral describes it as "partial contains 5.8S ribosomal RNA, internal transcribed spacer 2, and large subunit ribosomal RNA". The stretch from base 1 to 120 matches the Rfam family "5.8S ribosomal RNA", at positions 35 to 154 of the family's 154-position model. The record is from RNAcentral.
GAUGAAGAACGUAGCGAAAUGCGAUAAGUAAUGUGAAUUGCAGAAUUCAGUGAAUCAUCGAAUCUUUGAACGCACAUUGCGCCCUCUGGUAUUCCUGGGGGCAUGCCUGUUCGAGCGUCAUUACAACCCUCAAGCUUUGCUUGGUAUUGGACAUUGCCAGUUUCUGGCAGGUCUUAAAAUCAGUGGCGGUGCCAUUUGGCUUCAAGCGUAGUAAUUCUUCUCGCUUUGGAGAUCCAAGUGGUUACUUGCCAAUAACCCCCAAUUUUUUCAGGUUGACCUCGGAUCAGGUAGGGAUACCCGCUGAACUUAAGCAUAUCAAUAAGCGGAGGA